AAAAAACCCUAUCGUCAUCCUACCCCCCGCACAUCGCUACCCUAUGCCGCCGUCAUCAUCGCCGAGGGGAUCCCCAGUCCCCGACCGCGGCCACCCGAUCCCAUGCCUGACCUUGGCGGCGCCGACACGUCCCCGAUCGCGGUCGCCCCGCUCCCUCCAGAUUGCGGCAGGACCGCCUCGUCCCCGACCGCGGCCGCGUCACCCUGUCAAAGAACGGUGACGCCUCACCCCGUCCCCGACCACGGCCGCCUCGCGUCGAGGAGAAGUAGGUGGUCGGCCUACGGCGGCUCGAACCAUCGCCAUGGCGUCGUCCUCCUCCAAAGCCUCCUCCCACCGGGAUGGCCCCAUGAUCAGUGGCUCGACGUGGGCACCUCCGCGCUCAUGGCGCUCCACGGGAAGCUGACGCAGAUGAAGCGCCAAAUCCAGCAGGCCCGCCUCACCUCCAUGAGGAUAAAGCAUCGGCAUCAUCUACGGAAUUCCUUGUGAAUUGUGAGUUUCGGGUCACUCAAUGUGAUCCUCCUGUUUUGAGCUUGUGUGCCUAUGUUGUGUUUUGACAGGAGAAGCUGGAGGCAAACAGGAGGGCGUUGCAGAAGCACACCGGCGGCCUGUUCGAUGUGGCUGCCAAGGCGGAGGCGGCGUUGAGGGGCUCGGAGAGCAGCAAUGUGCUGUCGCAGCUCGCCUCGGACGGCCAGUCCAGGAUCGUUGGGUGGAACCUGGCGAGAGGGUCGGGGGAGAGGAAGGUUGUGCAUGUGCAGGAGGAGAACCUGUCGGCCGACGGGAUGCUCGUGCUCUGCAGCUCCGGCAACGGCGCACAAACCAUCGUUUUGUAGAUUAUGAAGCUGUCGUCGGUUGAUAAGAUUCCUCCCUACACCACGUGGAUCUUCCUGGACAAAAACCAAAGAAUGGCCGAUGAUCAAUCAAUUGCUGGUAGGAGGAGAAUUUACUAUGAUUCAGCUCGCAACGAGGCUCUAAUCUGGAGUGAAAGUGAUGAACAAAUUGCACAACCUGAGGAAGAGAAGCAUGUUUUCACUGAAGCAGAAGAUCAGCUAAUAUGGUAAUAAUAGAAUAUAUAUUGGCCAAUUGAGAUGCUUUUUAAUGCAUAUUGAUGUUGAACUUGAAAAUGCUUGUUGGCUAGCACAUAUUCUAGAAGGACUUAGUAGUAGACUAUUCUUUAAUACUAUGUUUCAUCGCCAAUUUUGCAUGUUCGAUGUGGCACACGUGCGGCAUGUUCGAUGUGGCCGCCAAGGCGGAGGUGGCGUUGGUUCAACUUGAUAUUAUGCCAGGCGAGAGACACAUAGAGUUAGGGAACGGCCGAGCUCGCCUCCGAGGAAGAGAGAUGAUUGUCGUCCCUUGGUCGAGGAUGGAGCUGACACGCUGUGACGCCACAGCUAUUGAGGCUAUCCGUCAAGUGUGGCCGGAUUUGGGCAUCUGGUGUUGUCACCUAGGCUGGUGUUUCUCCUCUAUGCACGCUUGCUUUAUCGUUGCCGGAUCAAUGCACUCGAGGAGGCGGCAGUGGAUCCCUAGGUUUUUCGGUUUUUGAAAGAGAAUUUUGUUUUUGCGAUUUUCUACAUGCGUUCCAUCAGCAAUUGAGAAUCAUGUGCAAGCCGUGAGAUUUCGGAACCACUAGAUUGUGACAGUGCAGGAAGUAAAAUAUGCGUCGGAGACGGCUAUGAAGGCAUCAACAUGAACCGGAGGGCCGUGAGGGACAUCAAGAAUAUGAUCAGCAUGUUUGUGAGAUGUUCUUCCAUGUUCAGAUUUUCACAUGACUGAUGCCCAGAGCUAGCAGGUCUCAGGACUGAGCUCGUGCCCAUGCGGCAGAGCAAGGGAUACUUAUGGAACAUAUACGUUGUGCCAAUGCAUCGUUAGGCGAACAUCUUUCUAUUUUGCAGAUGGUUAUACGUUUGAAACAUCAACUGGCCUGUCAAGAAUGUGAGAGGCCCUCGGGAGUGAAAAAACUAUCAUUUGAGAUAGUUGUUGGAUUGAACAGCCGGAGCGUGGUGGCAAGGCAGCUAGAGACAAAAAGGGAAUUGGUGAAAGAGCAACUCGCACAUCUAUAGGUCUCUUGGAAUCUCACAUUUAUCAAUUUAUGGAAAAGGGCAUCCAUUGGCAUUCUAAUAAUUUUGUUAGAGAACGGCAUGGACUGAGGCAGCCGAUGUGAACGAACACCGGGUACCCAUAAACAAGAGGAAAAAACAACACAUGUACAACGACAACAAGGUUAGCUAAGAAAAAAUCAGGCUGCCGGUGUCUAUUAACCUAGGGCAUGAUCUUGGGACGUCCGGCUUCUUUCCAAAGUGAGAUCUCAUCCAACAUCAGGUUGAAGACACUCAAAAUGGUGGAACUUAAGUUGCGGACAAUUCUGGUGUUUCGCUCCUUCCACGUGAACCACCAGAUAGCCUGCACUAAGUAGUUCCAUCCCUUCUUCUUCGGGGCAGCAAGACUGGCAGCGGAACUUUCCACUCAAUCUGAGAGGCGGCUGGUGUCGCUGGAGGGGCCUAAAGUAGCCGAGGUUGCAGGUAGCAGCAUGAGCCGCCAAAUAGCCUGAAAAAUAGGCAUUGAGUGAGCAAAAGAAUGUUGUCUUCAUCCGUUGAGCGACUCAUGUAGUACACCGGAUCAGGGGAGCAGCCCCUUUUCUGCACAUUGUCCCCGGUAUAUGUUGGCUUGGCCUUCUACUGCCCUUUAGUUAUGUUACUGUCUAGAAAUAUUUGUAGUAGUUUUAAGAUUUGAAAGCUCAUUUUUAUUAACUUGCUGUGUGUAUGUGAUUGUGAACUACUUCCAUAUUUUAGAAAUAUUAUAAGGGAAAAGUUUUUGGUCA
Molecule: RNA transcript, 2815 nt
Organism: Hordeum vulgare subsp. vulgare (domesticated barley)
Lineage: Eukaryota; Viridiplantae; Streptophyta; Magnoliopsida; Poales; Poaceae
Exons: 8
Source: RefSeq, a predicted model, not a curated record